GACGAACGCUGGCGGCGUGCUUAACACAUGCAAGUCGAACGGAAAGGCCCUGCUUUUGUGGGGUGCUCGAGUGGCGAACGGGUGAGUAACACGUGAGUAACCUGCCCUUGACUUUGGGAUAACUUCAGGAAACUGGGGCUAAUACCGGAUAGGAGCUCCUGCUGCAUGGUGGGGGUUGGAAAGUUUCGGCGGUUGGGGAUGGACUCGCGGCUUAUCAGCUUGUUGGGGGGGUAGUGGCUUACCAAGGCUUUGACGGGUAGCCGGCCUGAGAGGGUGACCGGCCACAUUGGGACUGAGAUACGGCCCAGACUCCUACGGGAGGCAGCAGUGGGGAAUAUUGCGCAAUGGGCGGAAGCCUGAUGCAGCAACGCCGCGUGCGGGAUGACGGCCUUCGGGUUGUAAACCGCUUUCGCCUGUGACGAAGCGUGAGUGACGGUAAUGGGUAAAGAAGCACCGGCUAACUACGUG
RNAcentral lists this ribosomal RNA (468 nucleotides) under uncultured bacterium. Its description in RNAcentral is "partial 16S ribosomal RNA". It matches the Rfam family "Bacterial small subunit ribosomal RNA", at positions 28 to 507 of the family's 1533-position model. The record is from RNAcentral.